Molecule: long non-coding RNA, 501 nt
Organism: Antechinus flavipes (yellow-footed antechinus)
Lineage: Eukaryota; Metazoa; Chordata; Mammalia; Dasyuromorphia; Dasyuridae
Exons: 3
Source: RefSeq, a predicted model, not a curated record
AUGUGGGUGUACGCCGUGUGUGUCUCACUCAAAAACUCUAAGACUGAAGCCUUGCGAUUGUUCCUUAGUUCUGACAAUCUCUCUGCCCAUGAGGAUCUGUUACCUUCUUAUUGACUUAUUCCUGAUUAUGACCACAAUCAUUCCAGCCAUUAGUGAAUUCUUGAUCCGCAAGACAUGCUUGAAACAUUCUGGUGACUGUAAGAUAAAGUGCUCUAAAGAUCAACCACAACGAGGCUUCUGCGAGGGAACAUUUCUAACAUGUUGUCUUAUAAGAAAACCCUAGGCCGUUUGAUCCUUUGGAAACUACUAGGUCCUAGGUAACUCUGAUUGUGGUUCUUCGAUAGCUGAAUUGUUUCUUCCUGGCUACUUGCAAUAUUUUCUCUUUGAUCUGGCAAUUCUGAAAUUUAGCUAUGAUAUUGCUUGGAGUUCUUAUUUUGGGCUCUCUUUCAAGGAGGUGAAUUCUUUUUUUUUUUUUAAUUAAAGGUUUUUAUUGACAAAACA